UACCAUGCUCGUCGACGGCAGCACRGAAKAGCUUGCUCUUUGKRUGGCGAGUGGCGGACGGGUGAGUAAUGUCUGGGAAACUGCCCGAUGGAGGGGGAUAACUACUGGAAACGGUAGCUAAUACCGCAUAACGUCGCAAGACCAAAGUGGGGGACCUUCGGGCCUCACACCAUCGGAUGUGCCCAGAUGGGAUUAGCUAGUAKGUGGGGUAAUGGCUCACCUAGGCGACGAUCCCUAGCUGGUCUGAGAGGAUGASCASCCACACUGGAACUGAGACACGGUCCADACUCMUACKGGAGGCAGCASUGGGGAAUAUUGCACAAUGGGCGCMASCCUGAUGCAVCCMUGCCGCGUGUAUGAASAASGCCUUCKGGUUGUARAGUACUUUCAGCGGGGASGAAGGMGGUGAGGUUAAUAACCUCGYCGAUUGWCGUUACCCGCAGAAGAMGCACCGGCUAACUCCKUGCCAKCAGCCGCGGUAAUACGGAGGGUGCAAGCGUUAAUCGGAAUUACUGKKCGUAUAGCGCACGCRUGCGGYCUGUUAAGUCMUAUGUKAAAUYCCCGGGCUUAACCUGGGAACUGCAUUUGAAACUGGCAGGCUUGAGUCUCGUAUAGGGGGGUAGAAUUCCACGUGUCCGGUGAAAUGCGUAAGAUCUGGAGGAAUACCGGUGGAGAAUGGAGCCCACCUGGACGAAGACUGACGCUCACGUGCGAAAGCGUGGGGAGCGACACGAUUACAUACUCUGGUAUUCCCGCCGUACACGAUGUCUACUUGGAGGUUGUGCCCAUGAUGCGUGGCUUCCGGAGCUAACGCGUUAAGUCCGCCACCUGGUGGAGUAGUGCCGCACGGUUAAACUCAGUUGAAUUGACGGG
RNAcentral lists this ribosomal RNA (873 nucleotides) under Pantoea sp. Its description in RNAcentral is "partial 16S ribosomal RNA". It matches the Rfam family "Bacterial small subunit ribosomal RNA", at positions 49 to 917 of the family's 1533-position model. Lineage: Bacteria; Pseudomonadati; Pseudomonadota; Gammaproteobacteria; Enterobacterales; Erwiniaceae. The record is from RNAcentral.